Non-coding RNA from Monodelphis domestica (gray short-tailed opossum), 378 nucleotides. The record is from Rfam. Lineage: Eukaryota; Metazoa; Chordata; Mammalia; Didelphimorphia; Didelphidae.
CUCUGGCUUUUCCUCUCCAGUGACCUUAACUGCAAGCAAAGAUUUCUUCAUCUCCCACAUCCUCCUCUUACUUGAGCCCAAAUUUUGAAAACUGUGGCUUUCUUCAGUAAUGUUGCUUUUUCGUUGCUACUCCGGCGCUUUUGUCUUCCUUUUCCUUCCACCCUCCUUUUUAGCAGUCUCAUUUUAAAAUGCAGGAAGAGAGAGGAGACAGAAAAGAGAGAAGAGAGCUCAGAGCUCCAAGGGCAGAGCUGUUUUACAUACGGGUCAGACACGGCUAGAGGCCAAGGUCAAGUUGAAAGUUGCAGUCUAGCCAAUGUGAGAGCUGUCACUCAAACCUUGAAGACCCUGUCUGAUUUUUUCCAAAGGUAUCAUCCCUGA